This 999-nucleotide long non-coding RNA is filed under the name Equus caballus (horse). Its description in RNAcentral is "lncRNA (ENSECAG00000056181.1)". The record is from RNAcentral. Lineage: Eukaryota; Metazoa; Chordata; Mammalia; Perissodactyla; Equidae.
UGGAAAACUCUGGCAGCCCUGGACCCACAGUCCUGCAUGACGAACACGAGUUGGAGCUGAGUGACAGCUGCCCAGUGUCAGGGGCCUGUGGUCUCCCGUUGUUCACAGUCUCCACCACUCCCUAUUGUCUCCCUCCAGCCUCCUUCACUCCUUGGUCCCCAGCCUGGUCCCCAAGGGCAUGUGAGUUUAUGGUUCCUGCUGGGGGCCAUGGGGAACCAUGUUAGGAUGGACCAUUGAGGCUGGAGUGGGAGCUUAGAGGGGACAAGCGGUUCCAGGAGCCCAGGGUGUUGUGGUCACUCCUUCCCCGGAUGCGGACAAGUCUUGACCCCACGCAGUGGGCGCGGGAUGGAAGGAUGGCACCCAGCAGCCACCAGCCCAGACUGAUGACAUUCGUGCGUUUGUGUCCUUUUCCCAGGCCGUGCCCGUCCCCUGCCCAUCAUGCCCUUCCAGCUGGCCUUUCAUCCCGCAGCGAACCUCUGUGUGUCCGGCUCAGAGUCUCCAUAAACCGCACCAUGGAGCUGGCCCGAAGAUGCAGAAAUGGAGGUUCAGAGCAAAAAGUGACUUCCCGCAAGGUCAAACCAUCAUUGAAAAAUCUCUUGAGAUGGCCUGAUAGACGUGUGACCUGGCAUGGCUGGAUUCCACCCCGGUGGCGAAGUGUUAUUUCCUUUAAUGCACACAUAUACACACACAGCUGUCUGGAAGAAUUCCUGGGCCCAGCACGGAGCGUGAGUCAGCGUUCGCGGGGCACGCCUGCCCGCAGGGGUCUGGGCCGGCGCGCACUGCCCCCAACCCCCCACCUCUGCCUCCCCGACUAUCAGCAUUUUUCAUUUUACAUCUUUCUUACGGAAAAUUUCAAAAACACACAGAAGUCGAGAGGACCAGACACGGAUUCCAGCAUCCCCAGCCCUCGGCUUCAUCCCCGGCAACGUCUGGCAAUCUCGUUUUAUCACCUCCUGUGGGCUCCCUCUCUGGCUUUUUCCCCAUUUGGCUGGAGGAUUU